RNAcentral lists this ribosomal RNA (450 nucleotides) under uncultured bacterium. RNAcentral's name for it is "bacterial SSU rRNA". It matches the Rfam family "Bacterial small subunit ribosomal RNA", at positions 354 to 796 of the family's 1533-position model. The record is from RNAcentral.
GUGGGGAAUUGUUCGCAAUGGGCGCAAGCCUGACGACGCAACGCCGCGUGGGGGAUGAAGGUCUUCGGAUUGUAAACCCCUGUCGAGCGGGACGAAUGGCUCACGAGCUAAUCAUCGUGAGAAUGACGGUACCGCUAAAGGAAGCCACGGCUAACUCUGUGCCAGCAGCCGCGGUAAUACAGAGGUGGCAAGCGUUGUUCGGAAUUACUGGGCGUAAAGGGCGCGUAGGCGGCCUCUUUAGUCAGACGUGAAAUCCCCCGGCUUAACCUGGGAACUGCGUCUGAUACUGGGAGGCUAGAGUUCGGGAGAGGGAUGUAGAAUUCCAGGUGUAGCGGUGAAAUGCGUAGAUAUCUGGAGGAAUACCGGUGGCGAAGGCGGCAUCCUGGACCGAAACUGACGCUGAGGCGCGAAAGCUAGGGGAGCAAACGGGAUUAGAAACCCCGGUAGUCC